This 253-nucleotide ribosomal RNA is filed under the name uncultured bacterium. Its description in RNAcentral is "partial 16S ribosomal RNA". It matches the Rfam family "Bacterial small subunit ribosomal RNA", at positions 524 to 776 of the family's 1533-position model. The record is from RNAcentral.
UACGUAGGGCGCAAGCGUUGUCCGGAUUUACUGGGUGUAAAGGGUGCGUAGGCGGCAAAGCAAGUCAGGAGUGAAAUCUAUGGGCUUAACCCAUAAACUGCUUUUGAAACUGUUUUGCUUGAGUGAGGUAGAGGUAGGCGGAAUUCCCGGUGUAGCGGUGGAAUGCGUAGAGAUCGGGAGGAACACCAGUGGCGAAGGCGGCCUACUGGGCCUUAACUGACGCUGAGGCACGAAAGCGUGGGUAGCAAACAGG